GGGGGUAUAGCUCAGCUGGGAGAGCAGCAGACUGAAGUUAAAUGUAGAUUUUGGUUCUGAAGGUCCCGCGUUCGAUCCGCGGUACCCCCA
Molecule: transfer RNA, 90 nt
Filed under: Collybiopsis luxurians FD-317 M1
Lineage: Eukaryota; Fungi; Basidiomycota; Agaricomycetes; Agaricales; Omphalotaceae
Description: Gymnopus luxurians FD-317 M1 tRNA-Phe
Source: RNAcentral